This 522-nucleotide ribosomal RNA is filed under the name Triticum aestivum (bread wheat). RNAcentral's name for it is "partial small subunit ribosomal RNA". Lineage: Eukaryota; Viridiplantae; Streptophyta; Magnoliopsida; Poales; Poaceae. The record is from RNAcentral.
AUGCACGAGGGUACCGACUCCGUCAAGGAAUCGAAAUUGGAUGUGCUUCAAAGUCAACUUGACAAGUUCAAAAUGAAGGAUGGUGAAGGUGUCGCUGAAAUGUACUCUAGGCUUGCUCUCAUCACAAAUGAGAUUGCCGGCUUAGGAAGUGAGGAGAUGACCGAUAGAUUCGUCAUCAAGAAGAUCCUAAGAGCCUUGGAUGGAAAAUAUGAUACCGUGUGCACAUUGAUGCAAAUGAUUCCCAAUUACAAAGAUCUCAAGCCAAUGAAAAUCAUUGGAAGAAUUGUUGCUCAUGAGAUGUCACUCAAGGGUAAGGAAGAGCUUCACAACAAGUCAAGUGGUGCUUACAAAGCCUCAUGUGAUGCUCCUACAUCAUCAAGUGAGAAACAAACCUCCAAUGAGGAAUUGAGCCUAAUGGUGAAGAACUUCAACAAGUUCUACAAGAAUAGAAGCAAGGAAAGAAGUUCCAAGUCAAGGUCCUACAAUGACAAAAGAUCUUCAAGUCAUGAGCGUAAUUGCUAA